GCUUAAACUUCUUAGGUGAGCUUACAAUCUUACAGAUGCAAACCCAAGCCAUGGCAGCAAAGGACGUCCACCUACAGGAGUGAUCAGAUGCUGUCUCUAUAUACAUCCGAUCCGAGCACUGGCAUCAACCACAAAUGAAUGCAUGCAACCAUAUCUUCAUCUCGUAGACCACAACUCUUUGCUUGUGGAAUUCCAAUUGGAUAUCUGAAGAAGCUCUGACACCAUGCAGAAUUACUCUUCCAUCGAUCAAUGCUGGAUUUUGUCUUGGACAAACCGUCGGCCAAGGCAUCCUCCUCCAUGAAGCAUGAAAGCAUGCUGUAAGAAGAAUUACUCCUCGCAUCAUCCGAGCUACAUGCGGAAACUGAUUCCCUGAUUUGCCUACACUGCUACUGCUCGUCGUGGAAGAUACAUCAGAGGAACUGUUCAUAGGCUCGUCACUGUUCUCUGGCACCUGCGUAUCAGAUUCCUCAAGGUACAAAUUCUUCUCCAUGUUAGCCAAAUUUGCAUGUUUCUUCUCUGUCUCAGCACUCACCAACUCACUUGUGCAGCUUUCUUCUCCUUUCUCGGAAGAGAACUCAGGUUUCCUUUGCUCAAAAUUUGAGCAGUCUUCGAUCAAUCUAACUUCCAACACUUGCACAAUUUCUUUGCUAUGAUCAUCCGAUUGCUGCCCGAUAUCCCUUGCCGUUUCAUUUGCUUCGAUCGUGUAGUUUGUUUCCGGAGCUUCCACCUGCAAGAAGACAGAAGCUAGCCAAGCAAUUCUACUGUCAAAAUCAAUGGCGAAGAACACUUGAAUCAUGCUAGUUUUAGGACAAAGAAAAUUAAGUUGAAAUACCUCGAUGACCUUAUGAACAAUGGGCAUAAGAGAAUAAGGUAAUUUGUCAAGAUAACACAAUGUCAUGAGCUUUAAUCUAACAAGAUAAUAUUUUUGGGCAGAGUUCGAGACCAGAACUUGAAGAUUCUUUUCUUAAAGAAGGAUGAGCUACAGCAAGAAUACCUCUUGGCCUGUAGGAGCAAAACAGGAAGAAGCUAGAUUUUCUGCAGACUCCAGUCUCUGAAUCAACAUCAGAUUCUUCUGUUCCGAAUUCGAUUAGGAGACGGUUUAUCAUCAUCUCCACGGAUUCAAGCUCGCCGAUCGCUCCUAAGUGCGCCGAGUCCUGAAUUCUUGGACUUUGAUGCUCUUCAUUCAAGGACUCAACUUGCAGGGACAAACUGUCGGCCUUCAUCAUCUUGAUUCUUAACUGGUCCUCAAGCUCUCUCAGGUGAUCCAUCAGAUUGCUUCUGUCCCUCUCCUGAACGUAUGCAAUUUCUUGCUCCAUGUCCACCUUCUCAACACCUAACUCGCCGUGCGUGAGUUUCAUCGGGCUGCUCUCGGGAUCUUGUGGUAACGGCUGCUUGAGUUGUGGCAAGAGGGAUCCGUCUUCAUCCCAGGAAUCCUUGCUGCUUUCAGAAUGUUCCUGGAUGGAGUUGAUGGCCAUGGUGGUGGUGGUUCUGGUGGUAGAAGUGCCAUGAAUUAUAUUUGCCAAGGCUUCCUCCUUGAUGAUUCAAACAUCCAAAUUUCUCAUCAAUAACAUCUUCAAAGAAACAUUUUUUCUUA
Musa acuminata AAA Group (dessert banana) is the source of this 1594-nucleotide long non-coding RNA. RefSeq lists it as uncharacterized. The transcript has 4 exons. The record is from RefSeq and is a predicted model, not a curated record. Lineage: Eukaryota; Viridiplantae; Streptophyta; Magnoliopsida; Zingiberales; Musaceae.